Molecule: ribosomal RNA, 444 nt
Filed under: Escherichia coli
Lineage: Bacteria; Pseudomonadati; Pseudomonadota; Gammaproteobacteria; Enterobacterales; Enterobacteriaceae
Description: bacterial SSU rRNA
Rfam family: Bacterial small subunit ribosomal RNA
Source: RNAcentral
GGUUAAGUCCCGCAACGAGCGCAACCCUUAUCCUUUGUUGCCAGCGGUCCGGCCGGGAACUCAAAGGAGACUGCCAGUGAUAAACUGGAGGAAGGUGGGGAUGACGUCAAGUCAUCAUGGCCCUUACGACCAGGGCUACACACGUGCUACAAUGGCGCAUACAAAGAGAAGCGACCUCGCGAGAGCAAGCGGACCUCAUAAAGUGCGUCGUAGUCCGGAUUGGAGUCUGCAACUCGACUCCAUGAAGUCGGAAUCGCUAGUAAUCGUGGAUCAGAAUGCCACGGUGAAUACGUUCCCGGGCCUUGUACACACCGCCCGUCACACCAUGGGAGUGGGUUGCAAAAGAAGUAGGUAGCUUAACCUUCGGGAGGGCGCUUACCACUUUGUGAUUCAUGACUGGGGUGAAGUCGUAACAAGGUAACCGUAGGGGAACCUGCGGUUGGA